Long non-coding RNA from Raphanus sativus (radish), 2625 nucleotides. RefSeq lists it as uncharacterized. The record is from RefSeq and is a predicted model, not a curated record. The transcript is spliced from 2 exons. Lineage: Eukaryota; Viridiplantae; Streptophyta; Magnoliopsida; Brassicales; Brassicaceae.
UUCAAUUUUUUAAAAUAUUUUGCACAAAUGAUUAACGAUUCGUUUCUCAGAAACAUGAGAGGGAGUGAAACAAAUGAAAGAUUAAGAGAAUCCUUUUAAUUGUUUUUCUUUUCUCGUUUUCCAUCUUUAAAUCUUGGAUUGUUUUGCUGGGUGAGUUUGUUGAGGUAGCGAAGAGAGUUACGGAGGGACUGACCGUUGAGGAGCUGAGGAACACACCGGAGAUUCGAUGGGGUCGCCGCUUGGAAACGGAGACGGUGACGAACUAUGUGGGUUCAGAAAAUCAAACGCCCGAUUUUUCUUAUUCUAUGCUUUAGGCGGAAGUUAGGCGUGUUACUGUUCAACACAACCGAAUCAGUGAAAAUCGCUACGUUCACCUUCCGUAGAGCGUUUAUGCGGCCGUAGAAUCGUCAACUCGGCCGAGUUUUCGAACAGAGCUAAAUUCUUGUAAGUCACUACACAUCUUAAUAUUAAUAAGGUUUGUGUGAUUCACUUGGAUAUUAUUUUAUCUUAAGGGAAUGAUAUCCUCCUUAGAAAAAAAAAAGUGAAGGAAUAAAGGGCUAAAGGCUUUGACAAAGUGAACCUGAGCCAGACCGGCCUGCCCGGAACGGUUAAUCAACUAACUGGGGUAAUUUAGACUUUUGGCAUAGUGAUUAGGGUUUUUUGACUACUGAGAGUGAACUAUAUAACAGAGGCGUGAACCUCCUUUUCAAACAUCUCUUCUCCUACAUCUCUUCUAUGUCUCUUGCAGUUAUCCAUUUUGUUUUUUUUGUCUAUGGUUUUAUCUUCACAUGGCUUCGCAGGGGCCUCCCGGGCUAAUCUGAGUACAAAAACUUGAGGAAGUAAGCCCCAAAGCUCCUGCUAGAUUGUCUGUUACCGUUUGUGUUGCAGGAGCCUCCCGGGCUAAUCUGAAUACAAAAACGUGAGGAAAUAAGCCCCAAAGCUCGUGCUAGAUUGUGUUUUGCCGUUUGUGUUGCAGGUUUGCCUUGAUUCUCUAGGCUUUCUUGUGUCAAAAAAGCGGCUAAAUCUUUCAUUUGGAUUUGUAUCUAAAUUAUUUGUUAUUGUUGGUAGAAUCUAAUUAGAAUUGGCUGUGAUUAUAAACUUACCCGCGCUUCUGAGAUUCAUUUCAGUGAAGCAUAUACGGUAAAAACAUGGUUGAAUUUCUUAAUAUGAGCCAAACUUUCUUGUUCAUUUUUCUUUAUUUCAAUGUAAUGUUUCUUUUGGCAGUGAUGAGUAAUUUAUAACAGCUUGAUACGCCAGUUCUGCUUCAGAUAAUUCUUGAUUGAAAAGCUGUUUUCACUGUCUGAGCCUGUUUAAUCUCUUAGGUCUUUGUCUUUGUAAAAUACUGUAUUUUUUCUUGUUUUCAAAAUUGGGAAUGUCGAUGAGGAUCUAAUCCGCUUAUAUGAGGUGCAGUGGAGCUGAGACCCUGUUUUCAGGGAGAACCCCUUGGCAGAAGCUGCAAUUUCCUUGAAUUCAAUGGAUUUUACUGAGACUUUCCAUUGAUAAUCAUCCUUUUUGGUUUUGCUUGAUUUCCAAGAUAUGAAGAACUUGGUUUGGUUGAGAAAUUAUCCUCCAUGAUAAAAUCUGUUUCCUGAGUUUAAACUAUACACUAGCGCUUGUAUAUGUUGCUUGUUGUCUGAAAAAACUCAGAAAUUGUCAGUGUUCUCAUCAGCUUGUCUUUCUAAAUAUGAGACUCGAGUUAAACAAGAACACGACUUUGUAUUUUGCUGUCUGCUAUAAUCAUAAUGAAUCGCUGUAUUGAACUUUACUAAUGACCUUGUUGCAUAGAACCUCAUCUAUUUUUUUUUCUUUCCAAUAAUGGUAUCAUUUGCUGACUUAUAUGGUUUCGCAGGAGCCUCCCGGGCUAAUCUGAAUACAAUAACUUGAGGAUUUAAGCCCCAAAGCUCCUGCUAGAUUGUUUGUUGCCGUUUGUGUUACAGGUUUGCCUUGAUUCUCUAGGCUUUCCUGUGUCAAAAAAGCGGCUAAAUCUCUCAUGCGUAUUUGUAUUUAAACUAGUUGUGAUUGUUGAUAGAAGCGAUGUGUUUUCUUAUUGGCUAUGAUUAUAAACUUACCCGCGCUUCUGAGAUUGAUUUCAGUGAAGUAUAUACGGUAAAAACAUGGUUGAAUUUCUUAAUAUGAGCCAUUUUUUUCUUCACGUUUUGAUUCGCCAGUUCUGCUUCAGAUAAUGCUAGCUUGAAAAAGCUGUUCUCAUUGUCUGAGUCAGUUGUAUCUUACUUUUCUUAAGUGUUCUUGUCUUUAAAUAAUUUUUUUAUAUAUAUACACAAUUUGGAAUGUCGAUGAGGAUGUAAUCCAAGUGAAUGAGGUGCAGUGGACCCGAGACCCUGUUUUUCAGGGAGAACCCCUUGGCAUAAGCUGCAAUUUCCUUGAAUUUAAUGGAUUUUGCUGAGACUUUUCUUUAAUUUCUCAUCAUUUUGGUUUUACUAGUAAUUGAUUAGUAGGUAUGUAAGAUCUUCUUACAUUUUUGUUUCGGAAAUUUGGAAUGUCGAUGAGGAUGUAAUCCAAUUCUACGAGGUGCAGUGGAGCCGAGACCCUGUUUACAGGGAGAACCCCUUGGCAUAAGCUGCAAUUUCUUUGAAUUCAAUGGAUUUUACUGAGACUUUUCAUUAA